UGUGCUUUGCUCUUUAAUGCCCGGUUCUGGCAACAGGAGAAAGGGGGAUUUGGGGCUGUAAUCCCCGGCGCGCGCUGACGUCGGGAGUUGGCAGUGUUCAAGAUGUGGAAUAGAAGAAACGGAUCUGGAGGCAAGGAGCAAUAAAACGGCGAAAAUGGACAGGGAUCGUGUGCUUGAUUUUUUGAAGGGAUGCCAAUGUUGGAGUGAUGUUCUUGAAAGAUUUCUGCAAACUCAUUAACAAAUCAUCCUUCAGCUGCACCUAAUACGUCUAACACCAUCAUGAAGACAUCUGAUCCUGCUACUGGUAACCUUUAUUGCCAUAUGAUCAUUUACCCUAGUGCUGCAGCUGCUUACCAACACUGAACUUUUACCUUGAUCCUCUCCACCAAGCUUUCUCCAAGAGAUUUUAUCUUGAUCCUGCAUGUACUUAUCAAAAUGCUUUGUGAGCAUGUGCUUCAUGUGUGCAGCUAUGUACCAGCAUUGUUCCAGGGCCUUUUUUGCCUCAUCUUGCAGACACUUACCAUAAUCUUCAAGAAGUAACCUGAUUGGCUCUGUCCUGUGCUGUUAAAAGGAUCAAUAAAAUUUAUGUGAAAUGAAAAAAAGAGGAAGGGGUAUAUCCCCUCAGCAAAGGAAACACACCUGUUGGUGUCAUGCAUUAUUGCAUUUUGUACAACCUUGCUCCUUUGUUUAUUAUAUUUCUGUAUUGUCCAAUAGCCAAAGUUGAAUGUGCUGUUAAUAAAGUCAAAUAAAAACAAACUCCUUCUGAAGCAAGUCUGCAAACAAGUCCAGUCUAAGCUUCAUGUGUGAAAACAAACAUCAGCCUAUUAAUGUGAUUAAGAUUUAUACUUUAUACAUUAAAUUAUAAAGCUGUUAAUCAACAAGCCCAACUUAUUUAAAUGAGACUUACUCCCAUGAAUGAAUAUGGGAAUAAAGCCUAAAACUUUUUCCUGCACCCAGGUAAUGAUGGACAGUUUGGUCAUAAUUUUAAUUGGGGCUUUAUUGUACAGAAUGGAUGCUUGGCUUUACUUUGGUUUUUUUUAAGAUUGUCCCAAGACUAUUUGGUAGUGGAUGGUAUACAAAAAUUUUAAAUAAAUAAUCCAAGGCAAAUCUACUGAGAUAUCCAACUGAAAUCAGUGGCUACAAACAUAGUUAACUUUUUGCCUUAGUAAACUGCAUUAUGGAUAAAAUACUCAGGCUUUUGAACAGUCAAUACUAUUACUGACUCAAGAGUUCUUAGGUCCCCAUUUGUUAACCAUUUCAAGCAUGAAAUUGAAUGAUCUGAGGCCUGGUUUAGACUUGUGGCUGAAUGAGGUGGGAUUAAAAAGAUAGUAAUCUGACAUAUUAAAGUAAAAUGUUCAACUUAAACUUUAGGUGAAAGAUCACAGUUUGGAAUGUUCACAUGAAAAAACAAGUAUCUGCAAGGAGAAUCAAAGAGCAUGGAGCAGGCAGUGUAUGAACUUUCCCCCCAAAUGUAUAGAUGUUUACCUGCAGGAAUUAUUUUAGUCCAGUCUGCUCUAAAUUCUAUCAUGUCAUUGUGUUGUCUAGGUAGGCCAGGAAACUGUGAGAAGUUUAGAUAUAGUGUCCUGGAUAACAAGGCAAAGUGUAACUAAAGUCAAGGAAAUAUUUAAGACAAUUCAAGAUAUUUAUUGUUUUACUUUAUACCACCAAUAUUAAAGCUAUCUGGAUAAUUCACAAAACUAUUAACCUAGUCUUAAGAUGUAAAACCAGACAAGAAGAAACCCUUUUCCUUGUUAGAUUAUUGGAAUUUGCAACAGAGUACAUUACAGAAUUAGUCAAAGAGAGCAAUGCUCAGGCAACAAUUACCAUGAGUUUUACAUACUGAAGUCUAUUGAAAAGAAUGUAUAAAUCUCAGCAUUUAUUUUUUGUAUACUGUUUUUCUACAGAAUUGUAUGCAGAUUUAGAUACAAAUUAAAAUUAAAACUAAAAUAUUUUAAAAUAGAAAAGCUCACAUAUAUAUGAAUUUAUCCAAGCAAAUGCCUACAGAUAUAAAUGGAAAAAUUUAGCAUGUUUCUUUAUCCUAAUGAAAUCCCUGACUCGCAGUGUGAGCCUGUGCAUGUUUACUCAGAAGUAAAUCCAACUGACUUCAGUGACACUUUGCAAGCAUUUUUAGCACUGCAGAUUUCCAGUGCAAUCUUAUAUCUACUUAGAAGUAAGAACCACUGGGUCCAAUAAGAGAAUAAAGGAUCACAACAUUAAAUGUUCAGCUUUGUCUGGAUAAUGUGCACAAUGAGUUGAAGACCUUCAGUGGUGGCUGUAUGUGUCCAUCCCUGCUUUAUCACAAGAACGGCUGUUAUCGUUAUAUUAAUAUUAAAUUAUA
Varanus komodoensis (Komodo dragon) is the source of this 2338-nucleotide long non-coding RNA. RefSeq lists it as uncharacterized. The transcript is spliced from 3 exons. Lineage: Eukaryota; Metazoa; Chordata; Lepidosauria; Squamata; Varanidae. The record is from RefSeq and is a predicted model, not a curated record.